RNAcentral lists this ribosomal RNA (700 nucleotides) under uncultured bacterium. RNAcentral describes it as "bacterial SSU rRNA". It matches the Rfam family "Bacterial small subunit ribosomal RNA", at positions 72 to 765 of the family's 1533-position model. The record is from RNAcentral.
GCGAGUGCUUGCACUUGCGCUGACGAGUGGCGGACGGGUGAGUAACGCGUAGGAAUCUACCUGGUAGUGGGGGAUAGCCCGGGGAAACUCGGAUUAAUACCGCAUACGCCCUACGGGGGAAAGCAGGGGCUCUUCGGACCUUGCGCUAUUGGAUGAGCCUGCGUUAGAUUAGCUAGUUGGUGGGGUAAAGGCCUACCAAGGCGACGAUCUAUAGCUGGUCUGAGAGGAUGAUCAGCCACACUGGGACUGAGACACGGCCCAGACUCCUACGGGAGGCAGCAGUGGGGAAUAUUGCGCAAUGGGCGAAAGCCUGACGCAGCCAUGCCGCGUGUGUGAAGAAGGCUCUAGGGUCGUAAAGCACUUUAAGUGGGGAGGAAGGCUACUUGGUUAAUACCUGAGUAGAUUGACGUUACCCACAGAAUAAGCACCGGCUAACUCCGUGCCAGCAGCCGCGGUAAUACGGAGGGUGCGAGCGUUAAUCGGAAUUACUGGGCGUAAAGCGCGCGUAGGCGGUUUUGUAAGCUGGGUGUGAAAGCCCCGGGCUCAACCUGGGAACUGCAUUCAGAACUGCAAGGCUAGAGUACAGUAGAGGGUGGUAGAAUUUCCUGUGUAGCGGUGAAAUGCGUAGAUAUAGGAAGGAAUACCAGUGGCGAAGGCGGCCACCUGGACUGAUACUGACGCUGAGGUGCGAAAGCGUGGG